Molecule: long non-coding RNA, 2506 nt
Filed under: Gallus gallus (chicken)
Lineage: Eukaryota; Metazoa; Chordata; Aves; Galliformes; Phasianidae
Source: RNAcentral
GCUCAGAGCAACAGUGUGAGGAUCUCCCACUACGGGGUGGGGGGGAAGAAGUCCUCGUGUCCCUUCCCAAGUGGGGCUGCAGCACUGGAAAAUGAAGAAAGAAGGCUGGAAGCGCAGCCAGGCCCCACUGUCACCCCUUGGGGACAGCUGUGGCAGGGACAGGGCCAACUCUGGGUGCUCAGCCCAGCUCAGGGCCCAAAAGGAAUGGGGACCCUUGGGGAUUUGCUCUGGUCCCAGCCCUGGGCAGGGACAAAGGGAUGAGGGAGGCUCCUGCCCAGCCUUAGUCACAGUCAGCGAUGCCUUAAGAAAUAGACACUAUGGCUCUUUGUGUUUUUCAUUAAAAAACCCUUUAUAUUCAUUUCAUGUCGGUUGAAAUCACAAGAAAUUAGGUUGGGGAGGGGGAGGGGGAGGAGGGAAGGAGAAAAAAAAAAAGAAGAGGGGACAAAUACAGACAAAACAGCACAGUCUCCCCCCACGUUCAGUGCUUUCACGGGGUCGGGGGCACAGGACAAGACCUAGGACAUCAGCUACUGUGUGACUUAGUGAAGUAACGCAAAGAUGGGCAAGGCAGAGGCCGGUCUCCCUUCAGAGCAGGUUAUGUGGCCCCUCCACAUCCUCCUGCGGGCAGUCCCAACGUGCUCAGCUCUCCUCAUCCUCAGCUCUCUUCUGCAUCAUCCACAGACUCUGACUCCCCACGAACCCUCUCCCGUUCGGCGCUAGGAUAAUCCUGCACGUUGUUAUGGGCCUCCUCGCUGGGUGCCUCCAGCUCUCCAGCUCCUGGCCCUCGGCUUUUGUCUCUCUCCUGCUCCUCUGUGCCCUCCGUUUUUUGGGACAAGGAUUCACCAUUCACAGGACCUGACAAGUCAGCAUUCAUCUCCUCUUCUCCCUUCUCAUUCUGUGUCUCCCCUCCUGACAGCUUCUCCUGGCCUUUCUCCACAUCCCCCUUGUCCUUCUCAGGCCCAGCUUUGUUAGCUUUCUGGAUUGCUUCCAUCUUUGGUCCUAGGACACGCGACUUCAACCGGGUGUAGACUUCAGCAGCCUUCUCCAUGACGUCCUUGUUUGCUUUAUAGCGACGGAUCUUCUUCAGAGUAGCCACCACAUCAGUGUGUUUCUGGAGGAUGUGAGAGGUGACCUGGAGUGCUCCCAGCUCUUCCAAUGCAUUCAGGCACCGCUUGAUGUCCGGGUUAUCCACCUUCAAGGCAAACUUGAUCUCACUGUGAAGUUUCUGAAGUUUCUCUUCAACUGUGGGCUCCUUUUUCUUCUCCAUUCUCCUUUCAGGGAUCAGGUCAGACUUCUUCCGGCCUCUUUCUACUUUCAAAGGUUUGUUUCGUGGUUUCUCCUCUGCUCGGCCUCUCUUCUCCUUCUGAUUCGGUUUCCUUGACAACUCUGAGGGCUGCUUCUUCGUUGGCUUCUUUACCUCUUUCUCCAUCUCCAGCUCAGAGUCUGAGGAGGAUGGGGCCUUACCCCGGCCUUUUCUGCCCUUUUUGGCCACUUCAUCAUCUGCACUGCUGUCGCUGUCUGAGUGCACCUCCUCCCCCUUCUCUGCUUUCUCCUUCCUUUUCUCUUUCUCCUCCUUCUCCUGCUCCCGGAGCCGACGGAUUUCUUCCUCUUGUUCCCUCUUUCUCUUCUCUUCCAGCUCCCGCCGCCUCUCCUCAUCUCGCCUCUUCCAUUCACUGAUACGGUCCACAUCACUGUCACUAUCACUGUCGCUGCUGGAGCUGAUAGGGACACGCUCAAGUUUCGGUUUCCUACCACGGGGUUUGGGAGGGGGUUUCUCAGCUGGCUUUCUGCCCCGUUGAGGCUUUUUAACAGACACGUCGGAGUCUGAAUCGGAGUUGGAGUCUGACUUGGUCAUGUCCACAGUCGCAUUUCCCAUUUCUGAGUCUGAAUCCACUUUGGAGUCAGAGUCGGAGCCAGAUUCCACUUUCUUCUUCUUCCUUCCCCCUGCAGGCAUCCUCCGGGGAGCCCUGGCCACUGGCUUCUUCUCAGGAGUAAAGUCCUGGUCACUGUUUUUUUCUGACUCAGAAGACGUUUCUGAGUUCUCCUCUUCUGUCAGGGAGGGGCUGCCCUGAUCUUCACUUGAAGAUUUCCGAGGCCUUUUUGCCACUGGCAUUUUCAUUGCCAGUGAUUUUCGCUUGAGCCCGCUGUGGUCGCUGCCUCGAUCUGAGUCCUCAUCACUUUCCAUUUUCUCUGUGGUGACUGCAGCCAUGGCAGCAUCAUCUUCAUCAUCACCAGCAUCGCUUCCCCCCAUCGGGUCAUUCUCGGGGAUGUCGCUGUCAGAGGAGCUCGCAGGCGGAGGGGCACUGUAACUGGCAUGAGGGUUGUUCUGGAUUUCCCAUAAUCCCUCGUUGAAGCCUUUUCUCUUGUUUGGUUUCCCAUAUUUGUCCUUAUACUUUUCAUAGGGGAACAGGUCUUUGGGGCCCAAAAAGGCGGUCUCGUGAGUGCCGAAGAAGAAGAUGGGGUACUUGUUCGGCGGGGGUUUCACAGCACCAUCCGCGAUGUCAUC